RNAcentral lists this transfer RNA (69 nucleotides) under Varanus salvadorii. Its description in RNAcentral is "tRNA-Met". The record is from RNAcentral. Lineage: Eukaryota; Metazoa; Chordata; Lepidosauria; Squamata; Varanidae.
AGUGAAGUCAGCUAAUUAAGCUCUCGGGCCCAUACCCCGAAAACGUUGGUCAUAAACCCUCCUUCACUA